CUACGGGAUGCUACAGUGAGGAAUAUUGCACAAUGGGGGGAACCCUGAUGCAGCAACGCCGCGUGGAGGAUGACGCAUUUCGGUGUGUAAACUCCUUUUAUAUGUCAAGAAAAUGACGGUAGCAUAUGAAUAAGCACCGGCUAACUCCGUGCCAGCAGCCGCGGUAAUACGGAGGGUGCAAGCGUUACUCGGAAUCACUGGGCGUAAAGGACGCGUAGGCGGGUUGGAAAGUCAGGUGUGAAAUCCUACAGCUUUACUGUAGAACUGCACUUGAAACUUCUAAUCUAGAGUAUGGGAGGGGGAGAUGGAAUUAGUGGUGUAGGGGUAAAAUCCGUAGAUAUCACUAGGAAUACCUAAAGCGAAGGCGAUCUCCUGGAACAUUACUGACGCUAAGGCGUGAAAGCGUGGGGAGCAAACAGGAUUAGAUACCCCAGUAGUC
This 439-nucleotide ribosomal RNA is filed under the name uncultured bacterium. RNAcentral's name for it is "partial 16S ribosomal RNA". It matches the Rfam family "Bacterial small subunit ribosomal RNA", at positions 339 to 795 of the family's 1533-position model. The record is from RNAcentral.